RNAcentral lists this transfer RNA (71 nucleotides) under Auriculariales sp. MPI-PUGE-AT-0066. It matches the Rfam family "tRNA". Rfam says of the family: Transfer RNA (tRNA) molecules are approximately 80 nucleotides in length. The record is from Rfam by way of RNAcentral. Lineage: Eukaryota; Fungi; Basidiomycota; Agaricomycetes; Auriculariales.
GCCCUUAUAGCUCAGUGGUAGAGCGCGCCACUCGUAAUGGUGAGGUCCGUCGUUCAACUCGGCGUGAGGCA